RNAcentral lists this ribosomal RNA (276 nucleotides) under uncultured Streptococcus sp. RNAcentral describes it as "partial 16S ribosomal RNA". It matches the Rfam family "Bacterial small subunit ribosomal RNA", at positions 1106 to 1382 of the family's 1533-position model. Lineage: Bacteria; Bacillati; Bacillota; Bacilli; Lactobacillales; Streptococcaceae. The record is from RNAcentral.
CGACCUUAGUUGCCAGCAUUCAGUUGGGCGACUCUAGCGAGACUGCCGGUAAUAAACCGGAGGAAGGUGGGGAUGACGUCAAAUCAUCAUGCCCCUUAUGACCUGGGCUACACACGUGCUACAAUGGUUGGUACAACGAGUUGCGAGUCGGUGACGGCGAGCUAAUCUCUUAAAGCCAAUCUCAGUUCGGAUUGCAGGCUGCAACUCGCCUGCAUGAAGCCGGAAUCGCUAGUAAUCGCAGAUCAGCAUGCCGCGGUGAAUACGUUCCCGGGCCUU